RNAcentral lists this ribosomal RNA (292 nucleotides) under uncultured prokaryote. RNAcentral's name for it is "partial 16S ribosomal RNA". It matches the Rfam family "Bacterial small subunit ribosomal RNA", at positions 505 to 796 of the family's 1533-position model. The record is from RNAcentral.
GUGUCAGCCGCCGCGGUAAUACGGAGGUGGCAAGCGUUGUCCGGAUUUAUUGGGCGUAAAGCGAGCGCAGGUGGUUUCUUAAGUCUGAUGUGAAAGCCCACGGCUCAACCGUGGAAGGUCAUUGGAAACUGGGGAACUUGAAUGCAGAAGAGGAGAGUGGAAUUCCAUGUGUAGCGGUGAAAUGCGUAGAUAUGUGGAGGAACACCAGUGGCGAAGGCGGCUCUCUGGUCUGUAACUGACGCUGAGGCGCGAAAGCAUGGGUAGCGAACAGGAUUAGAAACCCGCGUAGUCC